Molecule: ribosomal RNA, 466 nt
Filed under: uncultured bacterium
Lineage: Bacteria
Description: partial 16S ribosomal RNA
Rfam family: Bacterial small subunit ribosomal RNA
Source: RNAcentral
GAUGAACGCUGGCGGCGUGCCUAACACAUGCAAGUCGAGCGAUCUCUUCGGAGAGAGCGGCGGACGGGUGAGUAACGCGUGGGUAACCUGCCCUGUACACACGGAUAACAUACCGAAAGGUAUACUAAUACGGGAUAACAUACGAAAGUCGCAUGGCUUUUGUAUCAAAGCUCCGGCGGUACAGGAUGGACCCGCGUCUGAUUAGCUAGUUGGUAAGGUAAUGGCUUACCAAGGCAACGAUCAGUAGCCGACCUGAGAGGGUGAUCGGCCACACUGGAACUGAGACACGGUCCAGACUCCUACGGGAGGCAGCAGUGGGGAAUAUUGCACAAUGGGCGAAAGCCUGAUGCAGCAACGCCGCGUGAGCGAUGAAGGCCUUCGGGUCGUAAAGCUCUGUCCUCAAGGAAGAUAAUGACGGUACUUGAGGAGGAAGCCCCGGCUAACUACGUGCCAGCCGCCGCCGUAA